UACAGAGGGUGCAAGCGUUAAUCGGAAUUACUGGGCGUAAAGCGUGCGCAGAUGGUUGCGUAAGUCAGAUGUGAAAGCCCCGGGCUCAACCUGGGAAUUGCAGUGGAUACUGGGGAGCUAGGGUGCGGUAGAGGGUAGUGGAAUUCCCGGUGUAGCGGUGAAAUGCGUAGAGAUCGGGAGGAACACCAGUGGCGAAGGCGGCUACCUGGACCAGCACUGACACUGAGGCACGAAAGCGUGGGGAGCAAACAGG
This 253-nucleotide ribosomal RNA is filed under the name uncultured bacterium. Its description in RNAcentral is "partial 16S ribosomal RNA". It matches the Rfam family "Bacterial small subunit ribosomal RNA", at positions 524 to 776 of the family's 1533-position model. The record is from RNAcentral.